This 433-nucleotide ribosomal RNA is filed under the name uncultured bacterium. RNAcentral describes it as "partial 16S ribosomal RNA". It matches the Rfam family "Bacterial small subunit ribosomal RNA", at positions 29 to 506 of the family's 1533-position model. The record is from RNAcentral.
AGCGAACGCUGGCGGCAGGCCUAACACAUGCAAGUCGAACGAACCUUUCGGGGUUAGUGGCGGACGGGUGAGUAACACGUGGGAACGUGCCUUUAGGUUCGGAAUAACUCAGGGAAACUUGUGCUAAUACCGAAUGUGCCCUUCGGGGGAAAGAUUAAUCGCCCUUAGAGCGGCCCGCGUCUGAUUAGCUAGUUGGUUGAGGUAAUGGCUCACCAAGGCGACGAUCAGUAGCUGGUCUGAGAGGAUGAUCAGCCACAUUGGGACUGAGACACGGCCCAAACUCCUACGGGAGGCAGCAGUGGGGAAUCUUGCGCAAUGGGCGAAAGCCUGACGCAGCCAUGCCGCGUGAAUGAUGAAGGUCUUAGGAUUGUAAAAUUCUUUCACCGGGGACGAUAAUGACGGUACCCGGAGAAGAAGCCCCGGCUAACUUCGU